CGCUGGCGGCGUGCCUAAUACAUGCAAGUCGAGCGAGCAGAACCAGCAGAUUUACUUCGGUAAUGACGCUGGGGACGCGAGCGGCGGAUGGGUGAGUAACACGUGGGGAACCUGCCCCAUAGUCUGGGAUACCACUUGGAAACAGGUGCUAAUACCGGAUAAUAAAGCAGAUCGCAUGAUCAGCUUAUAAAAGGCGGCGUAAGCUGUCGCUAUGGGAUGGCCCCGCGGUGCAUUAGCUAGUUGGUAAGGUAACGGCUUACCAAGGCAAUGAUGCAUAGCCGAGUUGAGAGACUGAACGGCCACAUUGGGACUGAGACACGGCCCAAACUCCUACGGGAGGCAGCAGUAGGGAAUCUUCCACAAUGGACGCAAGUCUGAUGGAGCAACGCCGCGUGAGUGAAGAAGGUUUUCGGAUCGUAAAGCUCUGUUGUUGGUGAAGAAGGAUAGAGGUAGUAACUGGCCUUUAUUUGACGGUAAUCAACCAGAAAGUCACGGCUAACUACGUGCCAGCAGCCGCGGUAAUACGUAGGUGGCAAGCGUUGUCCGGAUUUAUUGGGCGUAAAGCGAGCGCAGGCGGAAGAAUAAGUCUGAUGUGAAAGCCCUCGGCUUAACCGAGGAAUUGCAUCGGAAACUGUUUUUCUUGAGUGCAGAAGAGGAGAGUGGAACUCCAUGUGUAGCGGUGGAAUGCGUAGAUAUAUGGAAGAACACCAGUGGCGAAGGCGGCUCUCUGGUCUGCAACUGACGCUGAGGCUCGAAAGCAUGGGUAGCGAACAGGAUUAGAUACCCUGGUAGUCCAUGCCGUAAACGAUGAGUGCUAAGUGUUGGGAGGUUUCCGCCUCUCAGUGCUGCAGCUAACGCAUUAAGCACUCCGCCUGGGGAGUACGACCGCAAGGUUGAAACUCAAAGGAAUUGACGGGGGCCCGCACAAGCGGUGGAGCAUGUGGUUUAAUUCGAAGCAACGCGAAGAACCUUACCAGGUCUUGACAUCUAGUGCCAUCCUAAGAGAUUAGGAGUUCCCUUCGGGGACGCUAAGACAGGUGGUGCAUGGCUGUCGUCAGCUCGUGUCGUGAGAUGUUGGGUUAAGUCCCGCAACGAGCGCAACCCUUAUUAUUAGUUGCCAGCAUUAAGUUGGGCACUCUAAUGAGACUGCCGGUGACAAACCGGAGGAAGGUGGGGAUGACGUCAAGUCAUCAUGCCCCUUAUGACCUGGGCUACACACGUGCUACAAUGGGCAGUACAACGAGAAGCGAGCCUGCGAAGGCAAGCGAAUCUCUGAAAGCUGUUCUCAGUUCGGACUGCAGUCUGCAACUCGACUGCACGAAGCUGGAAUCGCUAGUAAUCGCGGAUCAGAACGCCGCGGUGAAUACGUUCCCGGGCCUUGUACACACCGCCCGUCACACCAUGGAAGUCUGCAAUGCCCAAAGCCGGUGGCCUAACCUUCGGGAAGGAACCGUCUAAGGCAGGGC
RNAcentral lists this ribosomal RNA (1466 nucleotides) under Lactobacillus helveticus. Its description in RNAcentral is "16S ribosomal RNA". It matches the Rfam family "Bacterial small subunit ribosomal RNA". The record is from RNAcentral. Lineage: Bacteria; Bacillati; Bacillota; Bacilli; Lactobacillales; Lactobacillaceae.